AGCAGCCGCGGUAAUUCCAGCUCCAAUAGCGUAUAUUAAAGUUGUUGCAGUUAAAAGCUCGUAGUUGAAUUUCGGGAUCAAAUUGUUGGUCGUGCCUCGGUACGCACUGGUAUUAUUGGUUCCUACCUUCUGAAGAACCGCGAUGUCAUUAAUUUGGUGUCGUGGGGAAUCAGGACUGUUACUUUGAAAAAUUAGAGUGUUUAAAGCAGGCUUACGCUUGAAUACAUUAGCGUGGAAUAAUGAAAUAGGACGUUUGAUUCUAUUUUGUUGGUUUCUAGGAUUGACGUAAUGAUUAAUAGGGAUAGUUGGGGGCAUUAGUAUUCAAUUGUCAGAGGUGAAAUUCUUGGAUUUAUUGAAGACUAACUACUGCGAAAGCAUUUGCCAAGGAUGUUUUCAUUAAUCAAGAACGAAAGUUAG
Molecule: unclassified non-coding RNA, 417 nt
Filed under: uncultured Glomus
Lineage: Eukaryota; Fungi; Glomeromycota; Glomeromycetes; Glomerales; Glomeraceae
Description: SSU rRNA
Rfam family: Eukaryotic small subunit ribosomal RNA
Source: RNAcentral